UCGGGGAAUAUAGUCACAAUAGGGGGAAACCCUGAUGCAGCAACGCCGCGUGAGCGAUGAAGGCCUUCGGGUUGUAAAGCUCUGUCUUCUCGGACGAAAAAGGCCGGUCCCGAAGGAGAAAGCCCCGGCUAACUCCUUGCCGCCACCGCCGUAAUUAUAAA
RNAcentral lists this ribosomal RNA (161 nucleotides) under uncultured anaerobic bacterium. RNAcentral describes it as "partial 16S ribosomal RNA". It matches the Rfam family "Bacterial small subunit ribosomal RNA", at positions 354 to 527 of the family's 1533-position model. The record is from RNAcentral.